CUUUAUCUAAUGGCACAUACUUUGCGUAAUAUUAAAUUCAUGUGCGUAGAAAUGAUUUUAUUAAAAUUUAAGUGCUGAGUUAUUCAGUUUGACUCAGCAGCUCGUUGAUGUAAGACGUGUGUGUCCACUGGGAACUCCAGUAUUGGGGCCUUACCGGACAGUAUUAAAAAAUUUGAUUCCUUUGGAUUUUUGGGUGAUCUACAACUUGACCCACUAAAUGUUCAAAUAGAAAUAGAAAAUCUACAAAAGAAAAAAUAUGCUGAAAAUUAUUUUAUUUCCUUCUAGCUAAGAAUACACGUUUCUUAUUGAUUUUUAAAACAUUUGAAAUAACACUAAAUGAUCUUAGUUGAUAAACCUUUUUAAUUUUUUUUUCUUUUUCGAACACGAUUCGGAUGAUUUAUCGGCAAAUUCUGCGUUAAUAGGCGACAAUUAAUAUAUCCUUGCCGAAGAUCGAAGCAAACAUAUAGCAAAAAUUGGGCUUCGUAACUCAACUGCCAGUGGAUUAAAUAAUAAUUUGAAUAAAUUUAUCGAUAGCAAACAUAUUUGACAAAUACUAUAUAUGAUAAUAUGUAUACUGAAAGAGCUUAACUAAGAAGUUGACGAUUAUAUUCCUGACAUUGUCAACAUAUUUUUGUAACUAAAGUCGAUAAAUGUAUCAACAGCAAACAUAAUUGAUAAAUACUAUAUACUUAAAUAUGUAUACAUAUAUAAAGAGAUUAGUUAAGGUUAAGAGUUGACGUUUAUAUUCCUGCACAUUGUAAAAAUGUUUUAAGUGGUGUACUUGAAAAACUUAUAAAAUCCAAAAACCUUUAAUAAAUUAGCAGCAGAGCCAUAGUAAACUUGAAAAGCGGGUCUGUUCUGUACAAAAAUAGUCAACGAUCUUGCACAAAUCAUUCAUGAAAGAUAUGUAAAGAGCUUUAGAACUUCCUAAAAAAAUUAACUUGACAAACUCCUUGUUAUUAAAAAAUCCUUAAAUUUUUUAUGCUAUGAAAUGUAUUUUAUAACACUAAAUAAAUAUGUUUAUUAAUAAAAACUGUAAUUAGUAUUGCAGCAAAAGUAUUAGAAUGCUCUUUAAACUAUAUUUAGUGCAAAAAAUAUUUCACCAUACUUUGAAAGAGAAAAGCUUUAGAAAGCUUUAUGUUACCUAAUCGAAUAUGCAAUUAGAGCUUUAGAAAGCUCUAAAUAUAAAAAGUGUAUUUUAUUUUUUUAAUACUACUUUAAAAUGAAAAUUUUAAUUAAUUUGGUAAUAAAAAUAAAUAUGUAUCAUAUAA
Zeugodacus cucurbitae (melon fly) is the source of this 1271-nucleotide long non-coding RNA. RefSeq lists it as uncharacterized. The record is from RefSeq and is a predicted model, not a curated record. NCBI's taxonomy places the organism in Eukaryota, Metazoa, Arthropoda, Insecta, Diptera, Tephritidae. The transcript is spliced from 2 exons.